This 1107-nucleotide long non-coding RNA is filed under the name Zonotrichia albicollis (white-throated sparrow). Its description in RNAcentral is "lncRNA (ENSZALG00000006248.1)". Lineage: Eukaryota; Metazoa; Chordata; Aves; Passeriformes; Passerellidae. The record is from RNAcentral.
AUUUUGUAUGGGAAGUUGAAACCCAUCUUCUGUUGCUUUUUGUGCAGGUGCUUCUAGAGAGAGAGGAGGAGCAGAUUGCUUCAUCAGAGAUGCCAUGGCAGACUCAGGGAAAGCUGUUCCCAGCCCAAGAGCAGGAAGAGCAGCUCGGGCAGCAGGUGGAAGAACCACAGGAGAAAGGCCAGGUAAGCCUGACUAGCCAGGGCACAGAGGGAAGGGCAGGGAGAGGGGCAUAAACCAGAGCUCUUGGGACUGAGGAGGCCAGGAAUCCCUCAGGCACUAGAAGCACAGAGCCUUGGAAUCUGCAGAGAUUAGCCCUGGACAGGAGGUUUGCAAUGGAAGCAGAUGUGGGUAGGGAGGCAGAAAGAAGUGGCUGAAUAAAUGUGAUUUUGAGGCUGCAAGAGGAAAAAAACUGAGCCUGAGCAAGAGUCACUUGUCCUGCAUUUGUGUGCACAGAAGAUCAAGGAAGAGCCACAAGCAGAGCUGCCCGAAGCUCAGAGUGCCAUCAUGGAUGUGAAGAGAAAGAACAAGGAAGACAUGGGAAGAAUUCAAGAGGAGAAUCUCCAUCAGCAGAGGGGCGAUCAACAAAACCAGGUGAGUGAAAGAGUGGCAGGCGCUCCACUCAUGAAACAUCCUCUCGCUUGCUUUUUAGAGAAGAUGAAGGCACAGCUGAACACAGAGCUUCAGACAGCUGACACUAGGAUCAAGACAAGGCAGAAGAGGCUGGAGGAUGAAAUGAAAAUCAUCAGGGAGAAACUUAAUUGUUUCCCUCAUUCUCUACAAAAGCAAGAGCAAGAGUUGACAUCUGACCGGGCAGCCUGCAAAGACUCCCAGCAAAUGUCUGGCAAUGAAGGGCCCCAGGUUUGGAGUGAGGCACAGGAACAGUGCCCACCAGAGAUGCUCCAGGUCCAGCACAUCAAGGGCUUUGAACCUGCUGCCUCAGCAGCAUUGCCUGGAAGAAGCCUUUCUAUCAAACCUGGGACCUCAAGCUUGGGCAGUUCCUUCCUCUCUCCGGAACAGGAGACUGAGAAGAGGUACCUGGAAAUGCUGGGUAUGUCUGGGAUGUUUCUUGUCUGAGGGACAGUGCAUUGUGUGCAGAGCUGUACCAAA